This 253-nucleotide ribosomal RNA is filed under the name uncultured bacterium. RNAcentral's name for it is "partial 16S ribosomal RNA". It matches the Rfam family "Bacterial small subunit ribosomal RNA", at positions 524 to 776 of the family's 1533-position model. The record is from RNAcentral.
UAUGUAGGUGGCAAGCGUUAUCCGGAUUUAUUGGGCGUAAAGGGAACGCAGGCGGUCUUUUAUGUCUGAUGUGAAAGCCUUCGGCUUAACCGGAGUAGUGCAUUGGAAACUGGGAGACUUGAGUGCAGAAGAGGAGAGUGGAACUCCAUGUGUAGCGGUGAAAUGCGUAGAUAUAUGGAAGAACACCAGUGGCGAAAGCGGCUCUCUGGUCUGUAACUGACGCUGAGGUUCGAAAGCGUGGGUAGCAAACAGG